RNAcentral lists this long non-coding RNA (2627 nucleotides) under Citrus x clementina. Its description in RNAcentral is "Citrus clementina (C. clementina) long non-coding RNA (CCLE_LNC002818)". Lineage: Eukaryota; Viridiplantae; Streptophyta; Magnoliopsida; Sapindales; Rutaceae. The record is from RNAcentral.
UAUUCGUAUUUAUUCUAAAAAUUUAUUUAAAGUCAAUUUUUUGUUGUUAUAACUAAAGGGUAUAAUAGUUAAAAAAAAAAAAAGCAAAAAUCUAUGUUAUUAUUUAAGAAAUUAAGAAAUUUUUGUGAACAUUGAGGUGGUGGCUGACGUUUUCCUUAUGUAAAGACUUACUAUUAAUUUCGUUAUACAAAGACCAUUGAGUUGUUGUGUAAGCAUAGCGGCAAUUUCCUUGAAGGUAAUGAAAUGAACAUGGUCAAAGAAUCUGAGUGAAGGUGCAAUAAUUAAUCCUUGUAGCUACGUUUAUAGCAUGAUGUGCUCACAUGCAACCCUCUCCAAAUUAAGCAUAAUUAAUUAAGAGGUUUUAAAUAGAUUCCGACCCACUUCAAAUUAAUUAAAGCUAUUUUAAAGUGCAUUGCCCAUAGCCUCUCCUCUUAGCUUUAUGCCUUUAUUGCAACAGUGAAUGAUGAGGAGUCUAAAGUUGAUUACUCGAUCGCCACGAAGGAGUCAUUAUCUAGUACUGAUACCCGCACAAAAUUUUAAGUUCAUUGUAAUGUUGAUAAAGGCUUAUACAAUAUAAUAAAGGUGUUUUCCAAUGUUAUAUGAAAGUCGUGUCAGUAUUUCAUGAAAUGCAAAUGUUGGUAUAUUUUGGACACAAAUUGUCUGUAAUGAAAACUGAAACAAAAUAAAAAUAGAAAAGAUAGAGAUAGGUAAAUUUGAGGAAAUUUAGAUCUCCUAAAGAUGUUAUUGGUGCUUUAAAGGACCAACACCACUAAUAGAUAACCAUAGUUGUCAAUCAAUACUGUAGAGUUGUUAUUGAUGAUGAUAGUGCUAGUUUAAAUAAUUGGUUAACUUUCAUAUGAAACUUAAACCUAAUUAAAGAAUAGGAGUAAAAUAAUCCAAUUCUUAAGAUCAAGAAACACUGAUAACUAACACAAAUAUUAAGCCGAAGUACACAUAACAACUAAAACGAGAAAUAUAAAUUAAAAAAAAAAUCUAAGAAAUAAUUUGAAUAAUCAUAUCACCGCACCUGAGAAUUUUUCCAUCACUGAGUAAACAAACCUAUACGAGAGAGCUUCUUAUAAAUUGGCAAAACCACUUACCGUGGGUUCUUUUUUAUCUGCGCCGAAAGUAUGGUUCAAUUGGCGAGUCACCCCACGUGAAAUUAAAGCUAAAUGAUAGUGCUCAUAUUAUUUAAUUAUUAUAUCUGAGAGAGCAUUUGUUCAAGGAUCGAAUAAAGGAACAUCAAUUGUUCUUAAUUCUUUAUUUCUGUCACCCCACCUUAAUUAGGAUUGAAGUAAGCACAUCAGGAAGGAUCUAUAUAUACUGGCAUACCAUGGAAUGUUAAUUACUAGUUAAUUAAGGAUAAGUCUUCUCAAACGAAAACAGAAUCUGGUGGUGACCAACACUAUUCAAAUAUUCUUUCUACAAGUUCUUCAAGUUACAUAUCUUCAGUUACACUCAGGUUAUUGUUCGACCAUCACUGAAAGCGUCAAAUUUGUUUGUGUCAAUAUGUACCUAGCUACAUAGAUUGAUAAUUUUGUGAGGACAUCUACAUUACCAUAUGCUUUUUUUUUCUUUUUUCUUUAAUUUUUGGGUAAAUUGUCUUCCUCUUAAUGAAAAUUUUAUGGGGCAUAUAAAUAUAGUGCUUACCUACUUCAGGAUUUUGGAAUAGAUAAUUUUUAAUAUAUAUACAAAUAAUUUCUGAACUUACUAUCCUUGUUGAAUAUAAUCAACUGAUACUUUAAAUCAAUUCAAAGUUAUUAACUUUUAGUACAAUUUUGCUUGAUAUAGAUGUAGUAAGAGAGUUAUGCAUGAACUUUUAUUAAUUUAUGCAUCAUUAACACUGCUUAAAAUUAAAGGGGUAUUACUAUUGUUGUAAGGAAGAAGCUUUUGUGUAUGGAGGCAAGCGAUGUCAAUUCAAUGCAUCAUUCAGAUAUAGAAUAUGGAUCAUCUUCAAUCACAACUUUAGAAGUACAUAAUUCGACACAAGCCCCAGAGUCAAAUGCAGGUAAUUAAGCUCCUCGUCUCUCUCUCCCCCCUAUAUAUUUGAGUAACAAUGUUAAAAAGUUGUAAAUGUGUGAAAAAGACAACUCAUGAUGGCUGUAAACAAGAUCUAGAACUAAAAGCUGAUUAUAUACAUACUUCUAUAUUGAGUUUCUAAAAAGAAAUCUCGCAAUUAAAAAAAAAAUGGAAUAGAUUUUUUACAAUGCUAUAAAUAGUUUAUUUUUUGUAAAAGAUCAUCUCGCAUUUCAUUAAAGUACUGAAUCCUUAUCUAAUAAGUUCUCUCUCUAUGCAUAUAUAUAAGAGAAUGAAUGUAAAAAAUAAUAAUAAUAAUAACAAUGGAGAAUUUUUUUAGUAAUGGAAACAUAAUUAACAUGAUUAGUCAAAGAAAAAAAUUGCUAUAUUUACUUACAAGGAGUAAGUUUACUAUAUACUUUGAUGCAACGUGUUCCAUGGACCCCCUGCAGCAAAUCUUUCGGCGGCAAAAAGAUAAAUUGAUGUAUGGUGAUAGAUUAAUACGGAUAUUUUCAAAACUUUGUUGGUUAUAAGAGCACCGAAAUAAAAAUUCUCGCUGAUUAUAAGAGUAUCCACGAAUUUAGGCAAUUAAGUCUCCUUAAUUCACAUAA